This 420-nucleotide ribosomal RNA is filed under the name bacterium. Its description in RNAcentral is "partial 16S ribosomal RNA". It matches the Rfam family "Bacterial small subunit ribosomal RNA", at positions 355 to 776 of the family's 1533-position model. The record is from RNAcentral.
UGGGGGAUAUUGCACAAUGGGCGAAAGCCUGAUGCAGCGACGCCGCGUGGGGGAUGAAGGCUUUCGGGUUGUAAACCUCUUUCGCUAUCGAACAAGGCCCGCUUAGGGUGGGUUGAGGGUAGGUGGAGAAGAAGCGCCGGCUAACUACGUGCCAGCAGCCGCGGUAAUACGUAGGGCGCGAGCGUUGUCCGGAAUUAUUGGGCGUAAAGGGCUUGUAGGCGGCUUGUUGCGCCUGCUGUGAAAACGCGGGGCUUAACUUCGCGCGUGCAGUGGGUACGGGCAGGCUUGAGUGUGGUAGGGGUGACUGGAAUUCCAGGUGUAGCGGUGGAAUGCGCAGAUAUCUGGAGGAACACCGAUGGCGAAGGUAGGUCACUGGGCCAUUACUGACGCUGAGGAGCGAAAGCAUGGGUAGCGAACAGG